RNAcentral lists this ribosomal RNA (440 nucleotides) under uncultured bacterium. RNAcentral describes it as "partial 16S ribosomal RNA". It matches the Rfam family "Bacterial small subunit ribosomal RNA", at positions 338 to 795 of the family's 1533-position model. The record is from RNAcentral.
CCUACGGGAGGCAGCAGUGGGGAAUAUUGCACAAUGGGGGAAACCCUGAUGCAGCGACGCCGCGUGAGUGAAGAAGUAAUUCGUUAUGUAAAGCUCUAUCAGCCGGGAAGAAAAUGACGGUACCUGAGUAAGAAGCCCCGGCUAACUACGUGCCAGCAGCCGCGGUAAUACGGAGGGGGCAAGCGUUAUCCGGAUUUACUGGGGGUAAAGGGAGCGUAGACGGCAGUGCAAGUCUGGAGUGAAAGGCGGGGGCUCAACCCCCGGACUGCUCUGGAAACUGUACGGCUGGAGUGCGGGAGAGGUAAGUGGAAUUCCUGGUGUAGCGGUGAAAUGCGUAGAUAUUAGGAGGAACACCAGUUGCGAAGGCGGCUUACUGGACUGUAACUGACGUUGAGGCUCGAAAGCGUGGGGAGCAAACAGGAUUAGAUACCCUAGUAGUC